UGAGGAUCUUUAGACCAAAGUGAGUAUGUUGAGUUUCUCUAAUUUUUGUGUAGUGAGACUUGCUUCUGAGGAGACGUCAAACUGACUUGGUUUGAGCACAAUGCUGUAUGUAACAUGUAUAGGUGUGAAGACAAACAUACCGCCUACAAUUAUUUUUCGUAUUGUGAUGAUCAUCUCUUGGUGCUUGCUCACUGGUCACUGCUGGUACAACAGUCUCUACACGCUAUUAAUUACAUAUUAGACAUGUGUAAGACAUGGGCGUUUCACGAGGCUAACCUCUACCCACUUGUGUUUCUUCUAUUAGACAAACAGUUUUGUGGUGUUUUUUGUAUACAUAAAUAGUUACAGAAAUUUUCUCAUUCACACACAUGUGCUUGCCAAAUGUUUCCAAGACAUUACAGUCUAUUGCCUGUCCUAAUUGUCACAGAGGCCGGGAUGGUUACCAUGUAUUUUUUGUCUUGCUUGUUUUUCUAAGU
This is a long non-coding RNA of Brassica rapa (field mustard), 476 nucleotides long. RefSeq lists it as uncharacterized. The record is from RefSeq and is a predicted model, not a curated record. NCBI's taxonomy places the organism in Eukaryota, Viridiplantae, Streptophyta, Magnoliopsida, Brassicales, Brassicaceae.